UCUAGGGGAAGAGCCUCUGGGAGGAAGUUGGCUCAUGCUCCCUUCCUAUCCAAGGCUGCUGCAAGCUUGGUCUCAGGAGCAUUCAGGGAGAAGAUGGCCAGACCCUUCUUGACUUGGGCUGCUGUUGCUGUGCCCUCCCAUGGGGGAGUCCUCUGCUUCAUGCCACUGCCCUGCCCCUUGGGGGCAGCUCACUGCACUACACUGCACCCCAGCUUCUGCACUCCUGUUCCAGCUUGCUGCCCAGCCCACCACCAAGCUGUGAUCAGGGAACAGCCUGGGGAGGGAGCCUGCACUGCCUGUGGGUCCCUCCCCCACUAACACUGCCAGAGCCUAAAGGUGCCUUACCUUCCCCAGCUGUCUUGGCAGACCACCCCCUGCCUUCACCUCCACUUUCACCUGAAGCACACCCUGAGUAGUUGAACUGGAUGGCUGCUACUACCACUGCUGCCAUCUGUUCUGCUGCUGCCCCCUCUCAGGAAAGAGGGAGAUUCCCUGCUGUACCACCUUACACGGCUCAACACCACACCUGCACUCGAUUACUCCCUAACUGACUGAUUGCUCCUGUCUUCCCUCACAGCUGCCUUACUGCAUCUGAUCCUGCUUUGUUUUUCUGCCUAUUGCUCUGCUGCUGAGUGCCUGGCUGGAGGUCUGAGGGGCUCCUGGGCUGAUUAGCAACAAGCAAAGCCCCUCUGCUGCUCCAGUCAUCUUUUACAUCUGCCUCAGCAGCCUUCCCUGGGUGUUCUUGCCCUUGUGUGGUUAUGAUCCAGCUGGUGGUGGGAGCGCGGCUGAAGGCUGAGAGACACCUUGCAAUUCCUUUUCAGAGGGCCCUGGUACACUCGGGGACACACCCAGCAGAGGGAGGCAGUCUAGAAGCAGCUCAAGCAAGAAGUGCUAGAGCUGGAGAGGUGCCUGGCCCCCAACCCAACCAACCCGUCCCUCUGCGGAGAGUGUUGGGAGAGGCGGGAAGAGCUUUGUGCUCUAAACGACCACUGCACCCACGGUACGUUUAUCUGCUCACGCAUCCAGCUCCUGCUUCUAUGCCCUGGAGAGGAGGCAGAGGGUCAAGAAGUACAUCACUUGCCUUCUGGAGGGUGAUAGCACCCCCCUCAUGGAUCCAGGUGAGAUGUGCCAGCGUGCACAGGCCUUCUAUGAAGAGCUCUUCUCCCUAGAUCUGACUGAUGCCAAAGCCUGUCAGACCCUGUGGGAAGGACUCCCACAGGUCAGUGUGGGAGACCAGGACUGGCUAGAAGCUCCUCUCACUCUGGCCGAAUUUUUGGCCACCCUCCAUCUGUUGCCCGGCGCCUUGUUGCCAGACAUAGAUGGGCUGACCUUGGAGUUCUACCGUGCUUUCUGGGACAUCCUCAGCCCAUACCUUGCCACGGUCUGGGCCAAAUCUGAGGCAAAUGGGAAGCUCCUUCUGUUGUGCCAGAAGGCUGUGAUGACCCUCCUGCUGAAGAAGGGGGUUCCCCACGACCUGAGAAACUGGCAUCCCAUGUCCCUCCUCUGCAUGGACUACAACGUGGCAGUGAAGGCCAUCUCACUGCGUCUGCGGUCAAUGCUGACAGACGUGAAAACAUCCCGACCAGACAUACACAGAACUCAAAUGUUCCAUCUUCAACAACCUGUACCUGGUUCAGGACCUCCUGAAGCUAGCAUGCUGGGAGGUCUUGUCUUUCACCCUCCUAUCCCUGAACCAGGACAAGGUGUUUGACAGAGUGGAUCACGGGUACCUCACAGGCACAGUAUGGGCCUUUGGCUUCGGGCUCCGCUUUGUAUGGGCUAUCCAGGUGCUGUAUGCCUCUGCAGAGUGUUUGCUCAAGCUCAACUGGACCCUGACAGAGCCCAUCCCAUUCAGGAGAGGGGUGUGUCAAGGCUUCCCAUUGUCAGGCCAGCUAUACAUCUUGGCCCUGGAGCCCUUCCUUAUUCUCUUGUAGAGGAGGGUGGUGGGGUUGAUGCUCCAGGAGCUGGCAGUGUGGCUGGUCCCAUCAGCAUACUCCUCAUGGUACAGGACUCGGGUGACCUGGUGCAGGUGGAGGCCUGCCAGGCAUUGUACUUGGCAGCUUCCUUUACCCAGGUCAAGUGGGUCAAGAGCUUUAGCCUGAUGGUAGGUGCCAGGUGGGCUCAUUCCCACCCGUGCUCUGUGGGAUCUCCUGAUGUGCAGUCUUGCUGCUCUACUUGGCCAUCUACAUGUCCCCCACAGACCCCUCCCCACCGGAGAACUGGCACCAGCUGGAGGCAAGGGUGGUGGAGCAGCUCCAGGCAUGAGCAGGGGUCCUGAGGUGUCUCUCUGUGUGUAGGAGAGUGCUGGUGCUGAACCAGUUGGUCCUGUCCCUGCUCUGGUACUGCUUACGCACCCUGCCUGUGCCCCCUGAAGUCCUGGCAGGGCUCCAGAGACGGGCGCUGGAGUUUUUCUGGCCAGAACGGCACUGCAUCACUACAGAAGUCCUGAUCCUCCCUUGGCAGGAGGGUGGCCAGGGUCUGGUUUUCCUGCACAGCUGGGUCCUGGCAUUCCACCUUCAGGCCCCACAGCGACUGCUAUACGGUGUCAGUUGCAGUGCAGAAUGGGACCACCUGAGGCACACUUUCCUCCACUAUUUCUGAGAGCUCCAAUAUGACUGGUAGCUCCUCGGCCUGCAGGGGCCUCCAGAGUUCUACCAGGACCUCCUCUGGGCCUGGAGGCUGGUCUCCUCCCUCCAGGUCCCCUGCAACUCUCUCCCAGGGUGCUGUCCUACUCAUUGAACCCCUUUUCUGGAACCCCCAGCUGGAGGUGCCGACAGCAGAGGUGCCCAGGUAACCAUAGAGUUUGAUCCUGGCUGGUGUCACCUGUAUUGGAGACCUUCUGGACUAUGAUAGGCAGGAAUGGGUGGACCCUGCUGUGCUGGCCCAGCACAUGGGUCUACCCCCAACCCAUGCAACCUGCCAUCUGGUCCAGGAGGUGAAAUCUGCCCUACCUCCUGAUGCCCUUGCUCUUGUUGACCAGGUCCUGCACAGUGGCAGUCCCCUGCUUCCCCCCCUGCCCACCAUGUCCUCCAGCCCACGUGAGUUUGUCAUGGGGCUGGUGCCUCACCUGGCCUCGCAGCACUCCCUGCUCUACCACCUAAGCUGGCUGAAGGACAUGAGACGGGUCUGCUUUUCCACCAUCCAUUUCCACCACCUCUACAUGCUCAUAUGCCGCACAAUCCAUCAUGCUGCCCUCAUGUCCCACCCAGACACCAAGUGGUGGGACCUGCUUGGAGAGGGCGUAGCUGCAGCACACCAGUGGCUGAGUCUGUACUCCACCCUCAUCCCAUGAGCCACUGGGGACCUCAGCUGGUGGCUCCUCAAUGGAGCCAUCACCAUGGGUGUGUAUGUAGCGAGCUUCACAAACACCCUGGUCUCCUGCCCCUUCUGUGAGCAAAGGGAGACCCUGGUGCGCAUGACCCUUGAGUGUGCCAGGCUGCAGCCCCUCCACCUCCAGAACCUCCUCCUAAGGUUCUGGUUGAAUUUCAACCCCCACCUUUUUGUUUUUGGUCACCCCAUCCAUGGCCCCAUCAAGUCCUGGGAACUCCUGGUCAACCUCCUCCUGGCCCUGAUCAAGUGGACCCUGGACUUGACCAGAAAGGAGGCCCUGGCUAGGAAGGUGCCCGGAGACUGUGAGAUCACUUUCCUCUCACUUGUCCGUGCAUGUUUCCAGGCAGAGCACCAGUGGGCAACGUCCACUGGCUGCUUGGAUGCCUUUGAGGACCAGUGGUUGUGGCCCAGGGGGCUCUGCUUGGUGCCCCCCUCAGGCACACUUAAUUUCAUGUUUUGACCCUUUGCCCCACACAAAACUCCUAUCCUGUUUUGGUUUUUUUGCCAUUAGUUGUCCCAAGAAUUUAAUUGUUCCAUUUGUCCAUUAACUCCCAUAAAAAUGGGCUACUAGUUAACCAGGUGGGCCUUGCCCAUGGUAAUUGGAUGGACAAACAGACAGGAGCUUCUGAGGCCUUGCCAAUUGGUAUAAGGGGACACUACCCCUUCUGCCAGCUGGACUGCUGAAGCAGCCCUGAGAGUUCCCUGCACGUUCUACCCACUGCAGCAGUCUGGCAGUGGGGGCUGCUGCCUGGUUGUGACCUGCUGCUACCUAUGGCAGCAUGUGGCUCCAAGGCUACAUGCCUGCCAGACCUGGAUGGGGACUGCACAGCCAGUAGAGGCAUCUGCCCCCUCUGGGCCAGCUGUCAGUGGGCUAUGGCUGGACAGUUGCCUUUGUGCAGCAUUACUGCCAUGUGUGCCACUGCCCGACCAUCUGGGCAGCUAUCGCCCAGAAGUUGUUCUCAGUGUGGUGGCCUACUUUGAACUGUUGAAGCAUGUCCUCCUGGCCCCAAGUGGCCAGGAGGUCAGCCACCUCCAGCUGGGUCCGAGGUGCCAGCUCUGAGCAGGCUCUUCUGCCUAGGUCCUGCCACUUGCCUCACUAGCAGGAAUUCUAGUGUUCCUUAUUUAAAGUGUGCAAAAUCUCUGGAAAAAAAUCCCAAAUCCACUCUUUAAAAUACCCCAAAAUCCUCUUUUUGUUUUUGCUAGUCUAUUUUGAUUCUUUUUCCUCAGAAAAGCAAUCUGUGCUUUUUCACACAGUGUGCGUUCCAUUCACUGUGCAGGGAAGCACAGCAUAUAUUGCAUAUUAUAAUACCGAAUUUAUACAGGAACACAUACAUACAUUUAUAUAUUUUUAUUUUAUUUAUUACAUAACUACAUACAUACAUAUACAAAAAUCUACAUAUACUACAUAAAUCAGAUUCCAUUACAGAAGAACACACAGAUUUUCCAGCACACCAAGGCAAAGAGACUAUGAAACACACCAUAAAGCAUGCUGGAAGGAGAGCUGGCAAGCCUUCAGGGAGGGGUGGAAGAGGGGGUAGAGGGAGAGCUAUAAGUUUCCCACCCCCUCCCAAAAUGAUAGCCUCUUUGCUACAACAAGCAGGCACCACCCCCUUGCCCUUGCUCCUCCUCAGCCUGGCACCAGUGGGAGCAUACCCAAAGAGAAGUCCCCUCCCCCCCUCAAAGCCCCUGUCCCCCCAAAGCAGAGGCAGGCCAUCCUGGAACAGUGGGGGAAGGUGGACAGAAAGGGGGGCACAUUGCAAAUAUGAGCAAGAUCACUCAGAGCAUUGGGGAGAUGCUUGCUGUGGAUGGCCAGCCCUUCUCCUUAGUUGAGCAGCCAGGGAUCAGGUGGGUCAUGGUGCUCGUGGCCUCAUCAUACCAAAUGAUGGAAGCAUCCCCCAAAGGAAGUCUCACCCCCACCCCAAGCUCCAAAACCCCUGGCCCUCCCAAGCAGAGGCAGGCCACCCUGGAAAGGCAGGCACAUACAGGGGCGAGUUGCAAAGGCGAGCGAGAUCACCCAGAGCACUGGGGAGAUGCUUGCUCUGGAUGGCCAGCCCUUCUCCUUAGUUGAGCGGCCAGGGUUCAGAUGGCUCAUGGUGCUCAUGACCCCAUCAUACCAAGUGCUUGCACGCACCACCUUCAGCAGAACGAUGGUGCCCUCCCUGUAUGAGGCAUGCAGGAAGUACUUGAGGGAGGAGCUGUACAAGGCAGGUCUGCGGGUGACCGUGACUUACACUUCACCUCGGACACCUGGAUCAGCUGGGUGGAGAUCAUGCAUACCUCUCCUUCGCAGGGUGCUGGUGUGACCAGUCAAGCCAUUGGUGGGCUCUCCUUCAAAGCAAGGUGAUGGAUGAGUCCCACACAGCAACCGAGUUCAUGGGGGCCAUGAACUGCUUGGUGCAGGGGUGGCUCAUUGGGCAGGGCAAGCUCAUCUGCGGGUUCAUGGUCACUGAUAACAGGGCCAAUAUGUUCAAGGCAGUCUGUGAUGCCAACUUUGUUGGUAUCCACUGUGUGGCACACAAGUUGCACCGCAUUGUCAGGGAUGCCUUGGAAAGGGACAGAGCUGCUGGUGAUGGUGCCAGCACCACAAGCAAGCUCAUUUCCAAAUGCAGGAAUGUGGCAAGCUACUUCCACAAGAGCGCCAAGGGGGCAAGAUACUGUGGGACAAAC
This is a long non-coding RNA of Alligator mississippiensis (American alligator), 5997 nucleotides long. RefSeq lists it as uncharacterized. NCBI's taxonomy places the organism in Eukaryota, Metazoa, Chordata, Crocodylia, Alligatoridae. The record is from RefSeq and is a predicted model, not a curated record. The transcript is spliced from 3 exons.